Molecule: long non-coding RNA, 6865 nt
Organism: Leopardus geoffroyi (Geoffroy's cat)
Lineage: Eukaryota; Metazoa; Chordata; Mammalia; Carnivora; Felidae
Exons: 3
Source: RefSeq, a predicted model, not a curated record
UUCUUUCUUUCUUUCUUUCUUUCUUUCUUUCUUUCUUUCUUUCUUUCUUUCUUUCUUUCAACAUUUAUUUAUUUUUGAGACAGAGCAUGAGUAGGGGAGGGGCAGAGAGAGAGGGAGACACAGAAUCUGAGGCAGGCUCCAGGCUCCUGAGCCAAAGUCGGAUGCUUAACCGACUGAGCCACCCAGAUGCCCCUCCCCUGUGUCAUUCUUACAAGCAGCAGAUCUGGUAGCAAUGAAUGCUUCAAACAGCUGACCAAACGCUGCUUUAUUCAUUCUACAGAAAAAGGUAAGUAGGUCAAAGUGCCUGUCAUGGUCAGGUAGAAGGGACUUUUCAUGCAGCACCCAUGUUAGCCUCUCCUAGUCUGAGGUCCAAGUGAAGGUUCACCAACACCAUGGACUCUCCACCUGUGGCUGGAACACCCUCCCAAGGGAUCUCUAACAUUGACCAAUGUAUGAAGUUUGUCUGGACCACAAUUAAGGAUACUGCAACAUCUUCCAGACAGAACUCUGGGCUAAGAAGGCCAUGUGACGUGGAAGAGAAAGGGAGUGUGAUACCAUCACUCAAAUACAACACAGAUACAUACACUCGUCAUUGUAAUUUCCAUAAAUGGGAUAUCAUAUUUACUUCUCUGAAUCUUGCUUUCCCUUAAAUAUUCUCACAAAAAUGCCUCCAAAUCAACUAAUAGUGGGUCUUACCCACCGUGGGUUUUUUUUUUUUGGCAGCUAAUAUUCCACAGUAUGGAUGUGCCAUAUUUUACUCAAUCAUUCCCUGAAAAAUAGGCAUUUAUUUUAUUUCUGGGGGUUGGUUGGUUUGCCCUUGAAAACCAUACUGUAAUAAACAUCCUUUGGCACUGGGGCCAUUUUUUUCUAUAGGGUAGAUUCUCAGGAGCAGGACUGCUAUACUGAAGACUACUUAUGGGUAUUAUAUAGUUAUAUUAUGGAAGGGGUUCCAAGAUCAGGAUGUAGAGCUGUAUAUGUAGCAUCUGCUUGGUUUUGUAUGGAGUCUCUGGAAGAACACACCUGAAAUGGGUGUCCUUGCGGGAGGGGAACUAGGUUACAGUGGACGGGCAGGGGGAGACUUACUUUCUGGGUGCCAUCUGAAUGUUUUAUCACGUGCAUAUUCUGCUCAUUCGAAAACAAAAAAAUAUUUUUCAGGCUGCCUUCUAAAGAGGUUGCAAUGAUUCACACGUCCUCUAGCAACCUGGGAGAGUACUUAGCUGAGCUCACUAAUGCCCUGUAUUUUUCUCCUUCAAGACUGUCCCUCCUGCCCCCUUCUUGUUUUGACCUAGUAUGAGUUGAAACAUGUCAGAUGUUACCUUCUUGUGAUCCAUAAUUCCUUCUAUUCACAGCCCUUGGGCAGGUAGGAAGCAGACUCCCAGAGAUGCUAAUUUUGACACGUCAGUCUGGCCAGCCCUUCCCCAUAGCACAAAAAAGAAGCCCAAGCCAUGGUGGCAGCCAGAUCUUCAGGGACCUGAGGGCACGGAUGGCAGAGACAGACAAGGGCAGGGGGCUCUCUCUCCUCCGAUGCUUGCAGGUCACACUGUUUUAAACUCACGCUGGCUGAGCUGCCCUCUCUAGCCGAGUGGCCUUAGAGUCUCCCAAAUGCCCAAAGUCUCUCAGAAAAGGGGAGAGAGGCCUGCAGCGGCUGCUGCCCGAGGGACCCACACUCUCAAGAACAAGGCCAGAGACAAGAAACAGGAGGGAACGGGGGACAGAAGACACAAAAGAAUCAAGCUCAUACAAACAGGAGGCCUUCUCAUUCAUUUCCUGCAGGCCAGGCAUCCUCUACAGCUGGCCCCAAACCAAAGGCCUCGCCAGCCAAUGCUUUAAGCCCCACUGUGACUCACGAGACAGGAAAACAAAGCUGACCUCGCACAGAGAGCAAGGGCCCCUCGUAUGGCAGCAACUCCAAUAUAAACACCUGCUACUGCAUUGCUGGCCGAAGUUCUGGACUAACCUGCAGAGGGGAGGGGAACAGAUGAGAAAGCAGCUCUGGGGAGGGGGGGCGGGGGUUGGGAAGAGCAUGGGAGAACAUCUCAACACAGGCAGCAAGUCCAUUUGAUUCAGGUCCUCUGCUACCGUUCUGCAGCCUACGCUCCGGUCUGAGCUGGGACUGGCGUAGGGGAAGCCCCAGCCUUUGCUCGAGCAGUCCCCUCUGUCUGGAUGACCUUGCCCUUGAUCCUUUGAGACCCAGCUCGGCAAGGAUGUGUACAUGUGGGUGUUGGCUGGAGCGGCCUCUGUAAGUGAGGAAAAUGGGAGACAACCUGAGUGUCUGUUAGCAGGGAUGAGCCAACAAAUUUUGAUGCGGACACGCAACAGAAUCCUUUAUGUCUUCCCUUCCCUCAUCCUCCAUGGCCUCCGUGGCAAGUUCACUGAAUGGUUCUAUUGCCACUGUUUCCAAAAAUAUAUCCUAAAUCCAUUUCUUUUCUCCUCUUUUCUUUAUCUUUUUUUCAAGUUUAUUUAUUCAUCUUGAGAGAGACAGAGGCAGUGGGGGCGGGGUGGGGGGGGGCAGGGAGAGAGGAAGAGAGAAUCCCAAGCAGGCUCCACACGGUCAGCUUGGAGCCUGAUAUAGGGCUCGAACUCCCCAAACGUGAGAUCAUGACCUAAACUGAAACCAAGAGUCGGACGCUUAACCGACUGAGCCACCCAGGCGCCCCCUCCUCUUUUCUAAGCCAAGCUACCACCCUCAUCUUUCACCUGGACAACUCCAUCAGAUCCCUGCUGGUGGCCUGGAGUCCCCUCUUGCCUUCUUAGAUUCUAUUCUCCACACACAGCCAGAGUGAUCAAAUCAAACAGGAAUCACAUCAGAUUGCUUUCUUGCUUAAAAAAUCCCUCGAACUUCAUCUCCUUCCAUUUCACCCAUUGCUCAACGCUCCCACCACACUGGCCUUCUUUCCCUUACAAGCUUAUUCCUACCCCAGGGCCUUUGCACAUUUUGCUCUAGCUAUUCUCAAGGCUGGUUUCUUCCUGCCAGUAAGGCCUCCCUGUGACUGUAUACAGUGAGUAGGCAUGAAAUCUAACUACAUGCAAUGAUAUGGACUUCUCACAGACAUAAUGUUGACUAGAAAGGCCAGACACAAAGGAGCAUUUACAUAAAGUUCAAAGUCAGGUGUGAGACAUCAAGAGAGUGGUUUUGCCUAGACGAGAGGAGUAACUGGGAUAGAAUAGGAAAGGGACUUCUGGGGGCUAGAAAUACUGUUCUUAGAGCAGGUUACAUGAGUGUGUUCAGUUUGUGAAAGUUCAUCUAGCUACACACUUUCAGCAUGUGCCCUUGCUUAUAUAUCUACACACACACAAGAGCUUAAUAAAAUGUUUAAAGAAUUAAAAACAUUUUGGCUGCCCAUAGUAUUCCUUAUGAUUUGGGAAUUUCCCACCUAUGGGUCUUGGUGGGAGGCUGGGCCUACCUCCCAUUAUCAGAUAUUACAAAGGCCAGGAACUGGCUCUCACAGCCUCCCCUGCAGCCAGACCAUGAGUUCUACCCAGCAGAUACACCCUCCCUCCAUGGCUUAAAUGCAGCUUGGAGAACUAGGAUGUAUUUAGCUUGGCGUUUGGAGCGCAGCCUGGCACGAGAGGAGCUCAUUGAGGCUUGAUGAAUGGAAACAGGACCACCCCCACACCAUUUCCUCCCCCAGCACAAUAAUUCAAGAUUGGACCAUUCUGUACUUGGGAGCUCAUUCAUGCUUUCAAGAAAUGUUUACUGAGUGCCCAUUUGGUGCCAGGCACUGCUCUAGGCACUAGGAAUCCAGGUGAACAGAACACUGGAGUUAAUGAUCCUAGUGGGGAAGAUGAACAAUAGAAUAAGUAAGAGAUAGGUUAGUUAGGUGGUACAGAGAAAAACAGAAAAGAGAGAUGAGAACCUCCCUGAGGAGGUAACAUAUGAACAAAGACUUAUAGGAUGUUAGGGAGGAUGUGGGUAUGAGAGAAGAGCUUUCCUGGUAGCAGGAAGAGCCAGUACAAGGGCCCUGAGGUAGGCACAUACCUGGGUGUCUGUGGAGCACAAAGGAGGCCCAUGUGCCUGGAACAGGGCAAGUGAGGAGAACAGAAGGAGGAGAUGGACCCACAGGUAAUGGGGCAGAUUGUGUGGGGCCUCGUUGGGCAUGGUGAGGACUUUGGCUCUUACUCUGGAUAAGAUGGAGCCAUGGGAGGGUUAUCAGCAGAGGAGGGUCAGAUCUGAUUGGGUGACGACAGAGUUCCUCUGGCCGCUUAUCCAACUCUCUCCUCUGCCCAAGAUGGAAACCAAUCCCAAUGAGAAAGAGAAGUUUGGUCAUUUGUGUAGCAAAUGUCUGUCUGAAAUAAGCAAAAGCUCUCCACCCGCUUCCUCCAACCCAUCAAGGCCUCGUGCUGGCCAGCAGGGCUCUGCAACACAAUUAACAAUCCAUACUCUAUUAUAGGAAACCAGACCCUUCCCUUCUGGUCACUGGGAGAAUUCCCAAAAGCAGAUGAAGAAGCAAUAAGGCCACGUGGCCAGGAGAGCACCAGCUCCGUAGUCAGCCACAGCCACAAUCAAGUCCCAGCACUGCCUCUUAGCACCUGUGUGACCCAUGACUCCUCACUAGACCUUUCUGAGUCCCAGGCUUCCUUAUCAGUACAGAGGGGAGGGGAGAGGAGGAGUAAUUUCUGCCCUCGACAGGACUGUUGGGAAGAUUAAAUGAGCUAACAGGUAUCAAGUGACUGGCAAAGUGCCUGGCACAGAGGGAGGCCUAAAAGAUGUUAGCAAAGCUGUCAUAGUAACUGGAAUACUGAAGAAAUAAUAAGCGACAUUCUCAGCUUCUCAAGUCUGAGGGUGUCCCUUGGGCAAACUGGACUCUGAUGAUAUUAAGCAGAGGGCUGAAGUGAAGGGUCCUCCUGAGGAGGGACUCCUUCCAAAUGGAAGUUUCUUUCUCCCUCUACCUAUUCUCCAUGAGGUAACUGCCCAGAACAUCAUCAUCCAAGCUAUCCACGCACGCUUCUCUGUGCUUCACAAGCAGAGGCCCCAGUGGAAGAGACCCUGGCCUGUAUCCACCUCUCUCAAGGAAAUGAAGGAAAAAGGACUGUGCAGCACAUAUACUUAAAAUAAAAGAAGAAGAAGAAGGAAAAAGGACUAAAGCCCAACAACUUAUGUAAACUAUGUUUACUACACACCUCAGCCGUGAAGUCGGGAUGAGAGCAACGUGGCCUCAGAGGGCUGCCAUUAGGAUUCAAGGAGAUGACACAGGUCAGCAAGCCCUUUCUUCAUAAACAGUCCCAAAGAACAGCCAGCCCAGUUUCUGUCAGGAGGGUCGCAAAUCUAGCCUCAGUGGGGGAUCGGAAUGAAAAGAGAUUGGACUCAACUUCUCCGGUAGCUGGGUGGCGGAGGAAGCCCUCAUGAGCUCAUUUCUCCAUCAAAUACAAGCUGGGGUCUAAAGUUUCAAAACACAGGCUGGGGCAUGCUGGCACAGUCCCAUGAGAGGACAAAGAAAAGAGAAAAGAGGCUGGAUGGAAGAGAAGCCACCACACGGCAGGUUCCACAACUAACUGUCGGGAGGAGGCUCCCAGGCUGGCUUCCAGCCACAUCCGCUCUCUGCACAGCUCUGAGACUGCAGGAAGAAGGGACCCCCACCAUGUCUGUAUUUACAGCUGGGAACUGGCAUGGGCACGGGAAACUCGGAAAUAAACUCCGUCAGGAAGCGAGAACUGGAAGAUGCUUCCAUAGCAACGCCCAUCUGGAGCUCCCUGCCCGCAGCUGGAAACAUUCAGAAGCGAAGCUUAUCUAGAGAUGUCCACCAAAUUCAUUUUUUCCAUUUGCACCUGGAAUAUGUUACUUAAACUUCACUUCUCUGGGGAGCCUCUGGGAAGCCCCUAUUCUUUGGCUCAAAAAAAUCCUAUCCUGAACAUUUAGGACACAGGACUCAUCAGGGUGGCUGUGUGUUUCUCCCUCUCUCUGUGGAGAGGUGGGCUGUGUCUGCCUUGCUCACUCGUACCUGGCCCAGAACAGGUCUUUAAUCCAUGCUUCCUGAAUAAAGAAGUCAACUGGUUUGUUCUCGAUUUUGUUCUUCAUAACUUUAGCUACCAUGUAAGCACCUGUAUGCACAUGGCAAUGAACUGAGAUGCACGACACCCCAUGAGGGACUUACUACUGUUACGCCCACUUUGAAAAUGAGGCUCCUUCUCAAGGUCAAAGCCACAAAAGAACUGGAGUUCUUUCAUCUCAAGAGAAGGAUAGGAGAGAGUGUGACUAUCUAUCUAAAGCAGGGCUGGACAGGUAGAGGGACAUAUAAUGAGUCGGCUCUGACACUAAGAACUCUUUGAGUAGAAAUGUUAUAGAGCUGGAGUGUAUCCCUCAUCAAGGAACUCUGGAACACAUGCUUCUUGGGACACAAACAUUAAACAGCCUGCUACAUCCCGGGAGAAUUCUACCCAACCUUCCCAGAAACCACAGCUCACAUGAUUCCUUACCUUUAACAUAUUUUUUUCUGCUUAUGAAAGCAAUAUAUGCUUAUAUAUGCAUAUAAAAAAAAACUUGGAAAAUAAAGAAAGUGCAAAGAAGAAUAUAAAGUUACCCAUCAUCUUCCCACCAAGGGAUAACCACUGUAAAGAUGUUGGUUUAUUUCCUUCCGUCUUUUUUUCUAGUGUGAACAGUGUGUGUAUAGGAGAGAUAUGGAAAGAGAGAUUUUUUUUUUCCCCUUUAAAGUCUCCUACCUGUGCUUUUCUGUGAGACUUUUAAACAUCAAGUGAAAAAUAAUAUUUUCAAAUGGCAAAAUUAAGCCUAUUUCCUCAAACUACAGACGUGGGGAGGAAGGAGCCUUCCCUGUUCCUCUCCUCCAAUUUCUGCUUCCACCUGACCCCUACUACAGACCAGCAGUUCUCAAUCCUAACUGUGCCUGACCAUAACAGUAACUGCCACAGU